Molecule: non-coding RNA, 91 nt
Organism: Pleurotus ostreatus (oyster mushroom)
Lineage: Eukaryota; Fungi; Basidiomycota; Agaricomycetes; Agaricales; Pleurotaceae
Source: the annotation of a RefSeq genome assembly
ACAUCGAUGGUGAAACGGUAUCAUGCUUGCCUUCCACGUCGUUACAUAUAUCUGUAAGCAAGCGGCACGGGUUCGACUCCCGUUCGAUGUA